Non-coding RNA from Xyrichtys novacula (pearly razorfish), 77 nucleotides. The record is from the annotation of a GenBank genome assembly. Lineage: Eukaryota; Metazoa; Chordata; Actinopteri; Labriformes; Labridae.
CCCCGCUGCCAAAAGUGCUGUUUGUGCAGGUAGCAGUCAUCCACCUACUGCAAAACCAGCACUUCAGGCAGAGAGGA